CCUACGGGUGGCAGCAGUGAGGAAUAUUGGUCAAUGGACGAGAGUCUGAACCAGCCAAGUAGCGUGAAGGAUGACUGCCCUAUGGGUUGUAAACUUCUUUUAUAUAGGAAUAAAAUGUUCCACGUGUGGGAUUUUGUAUGUACCAUAUGAAUAAGGAUCGGCUAACUCCGUGCCAGCAGCCGCGGUAAUACGGAGGAUCCGAGCGUUAUCCGGAUUUAUUGGGUUUAAAGGGAGCGUAGGUGGAUUGUUAAGUCAGUUGUGAAAGUUUGCGGCUCAACCGUAAAAUUGCAGUUGAAACUGGCAGUCUUGAGUACAGUAGAGGUGUGCGGAAUUCGUGGUGUAGCGGUGAAAUGCUUAGAUAUCACGAAGAACUCCGAUUGCGAAGGCAGUUCACUGGACUGCAACUGACACUGAGGCUCGAAAGUGUGGGUAUCAAACAGGAUUAGAUACCCGAGUAGUC
Molecule: ribosomal RNA, 460 nt
Filed under: uncultured bacterium
Lineage: Bacteria
Description: partial 16S ribosomal RNA
Rfam family: Bacterial small subunit ribosomal RNA
Source: RNAcentral